RNAcentral lists this long non-coding RNA (947 nucleotides) under Triticum aestivum (bread wheat). RNAcentral describes it as "long non-coding RNA (TAES_LNC005756)". Lineage: Eukaryota; Viridiplantae; Streptophyta; Magnoliopsida; Poales; Poaceae. The record is from RNAcentral.
UUUUUUUUUCUUUUUUUUUUUUGCGGGUGAGCGCCUACGGCGGUUAGCUGUUGCUGCCAUGCGGCCGGCAAUGUCGUCGGGUUUGACCGGUGAAGUGGCCUCUGCGCCGGUCGCGCUGGGCUGAGCGGUAGGGUUUGAGAGCGAGACGGUGGCGUUCGAGGAAACAGGGCAGGCAUGUGAGCCACGUCGGUGUCGGCGAACCGGCGUCGCCCUGCCCUGCCGGCGAGGUCUUGACUAUUGACUGACGGCUUCCCGUGCGUGGGACGUGCUCGGCACGGCCAUUGACUUCGGGGCACAGGCAGCUACGAGAGCCUACCGUUCAGUUGGUCUAUGUGGCUGCUAUAUUUCAUCCUAUGUUUUCUUCUUUCUUUCUUUCUUUCUUUCUUUUAGAGCAAAGACCUUUUUAAUUUAACCCAUUUUUCUAGAACAUCAGUCCUACCAAGCAAAAAAAAAGUAAGUUGUAAAAAGAAAAGGAGUCGUUGAAGGGAAAAGCAAACUGGUUUUUUAUGGGGGAGACGAACGCAAAAAUUGGCAGCGUGACAACUCCAUGUCGCCGUCUGGCACGGCCCAAGCUGGGUGGACGGAGCGGCCCAGUAAUGACAACAUUUGAUUUGCCGUCGCUUGCGGCAGACCCAGCCCAUCGUUAUGUAGCAACGCAAAGAAAAUUCUGCAUGAAAUAGAACCAGCAAAGCACGCCCAUAAAGCUGAACAUCAAAACAUAAGGAACACCAACAGAGUACAGACAGACGCUAUGGUUCGACCAAAUCUACAUCCAUCAGGUAACUGAAAUGUACUACCCCCCACAAUCGCACCAAGCCACCCGAUGCGGCCAUUAUUCGUUUAUUCUGCUUCAGGAAAUGUCCCCAAAAUUGAAACUGCACACUGUCGAUUCAAUUGCGCAACAGCACAGGACCACCAGCCUAGAAACGGUGCCCAGCGAAGCUCAU